UCAACCAAUCAGUGACAGAGAAGAAUGAGACUGGAUGUACAUAACAUUUAUUAAGAACCUUCCCCAGCUGAGGUGAUAUCAUUCCGUAUGUUUUGAGUGGAAUUGUAGUGGUUGAUCUGGUGUCACGGUUUUACCGCGGUAUCUGUCCCCUGCCAUGGCUCUCAUAAGGGUACUGCGAUUGUCUGUCCUACUUGUUGGCUGUCAAGUAAUUGCUUCCAGGAAUGGGUUGGCUGGGAAGCUUGGAUAUGCACAAGGGCUGGUCCAAACCCCCAUAUAUCAGCCCUAUGAAGAGCAGACUGGAUCCGCUCCCCAGCAGAAACCAUGGAUGCCCAACCAAAAGCAAACCCUCAUGACGGCACAGACACAAAAGAGCUCAUUGCCCAACCAGCAGCAGCCUCAUGGCUACCAGCACCAGCAGCAGCAGCCUCAUGGCUACCAGCAGCAGCAGCAGCCUCGUAGCUACCAGCAGCAGCAGCCUCGUAGCUACCAGCAGCAGCAGCCUCGUAGCUACCAGCAGCAGCAGCCUCGCAACUAUCUCUUGGAGCAGCGUCUACACCCGCAGCUAGUUGAAAAGCAUCCUAGCAUUGUGCCCAAGCUUUGUACCGCGAUUGAGAAUAUAGCUAGCUGGCUGAAAGGUCCCAGCUGUGUCCAAAAAAAAAAGCCACUACUCGGUGAUGUGCUAGGGCAACAUCAACUGCGCCUAGAUCUGCAGAAAAUUCUGCACACGUUCCCAAGUUGGCUCCAUUCCCGAGCAGAAGCCACACAUUCCCCCUGAGUAUGAAGAACUGGAGAAACCUAUGCAGCAGCAGCAUCCAUCUAUGUAGCACCCUAUGCAAAUGCACCCUAUGCAGAUGCAGCAGCCAUAUAUGCAC
Molecule: long non-coding RNA, 872 nt
Organism: Gadus macrocephalus (Pacific cod)
Lineage: Eukaryota; Metazoa; Chordata; Actinopteri; Gadiformes; Gadidae
Exons: 4
Source: RefSeq, a predicted model, not a curated record